RNAcentral lists this ribosomal RNA (439 nucleotides) under uncultured bacterium. RNAcentral's name for it is "partial 16S ribosomal RNA". It matches the Rfam family "Bacterial small subunit ribosomal RNA", at positions 339 to 795 of the family's 1533-position model. The record is from RNAcentral.
CUACGGGGGGCUGCAGUGGGGAAUAUUGCACAAUGGAGGAAACUCUGAUGCAGCAACGCCGCGUAGAGGAUGACACUUUUCGGAGCGUAAACUCCUUUUAUAUAGGAAGAAGAUGACGGUACUAUAUGAAUAAGCGCCGGCUAACUCCGUGCCAGCAGCCGCGGUAAUACGGAGGGCACAAGCGUUACUCGGAAUCACUGGGCGUAAAGAGCGUGUAGGCGGAUUAAAAAGUCAGAAGUGAAAUCCUAUAGCUUAACUAUAGAACUGCUUCUGAAACUCUUAAUCUAGAAUAUGGGAGAGGUAGAUGGAAUUUCUGGUGUAGGGGUAAAAUCCGUAGAGAUCAGAAGGAAUACCGAUUGCGAAGGCGAUCUACUAGAACAUUAUUGACGCUGAGACGCGAAAGCGUGGGGAGCAAACAGGAUUAGAUACCCCGGUAGUC